AACUUAACUUGGGAGUCCGAACUCUCACUUUCUAACCCUGUGCACUUGUUUGGGAUAGUAACUCUCGCAAGAGAGCGAACUCCUAUUCACUUAUAAACACAAAGUCUAUGAAUGUAUUAAAUUUUAUAACAAAAUAAAACUUUCAACAACGGAUCUCUUGGCUCUCGCAUCGAUGAAGAACGCAGCGAAAUGCGAUAAGUAAUGUGAAUUGCAGAAUUCAGUGAAUCAUCGAAUCUUUGAACGCACCUUGCGCUCCAUGGUAUUCCGUGGAGCAUGCCUGUUUGAGUGUCAUGAAUACUUCAACCCUCCUCUUUCUUAAUGAUUGAAGAGGUGUUUGGUUUCUGAGCGCUGUUGGCCUUUACGGUCUAGCUCGUUCGUAAUGCAUUAGCAUCCGCAAUCGAACUUCGGAUUGACUUGGCGUAAUAGACUAUUCGCUGAGGAAUUCUAGUCUUCGGAUUAGAGCCGGGUUGGGUUAAAGGAAGCUUCUAAUCAGAAUGUCUACAUUUUAAGAUUAGAUCUCAAAUCAGGUAGGACUACCCGCUGAACUUAAGCAUAUCAAUAAGCGGAGGAAAAGAAACUAACAAGGAUUCCCCUAGUAGCGGCGAGCGAAGCGGGAAGAGCUCAAAUUUAUAAUCUGGCACCUUCGGUGUCCGAGUUGUAAUCUCUAGAAAUGUUUUCCGCGUUGGACCGCACACAAGUCUGUUGGAAUACAGCGGCAUAGUGGUGAGACCCCCGUAUAUGGUGCGGACGCCCAGCGCUUUGUGAUACAUUUUCGAAGAGUCGAGUUGUUUGGGAAUGCAGCUCAAAUUGGGUGGUAAAUUCCAUCUAAAGCUAAAUAUUGGCGAGAGACCGAUAGCGAACAAGUACCGUGAGGGAAAGAUGAAAAGCACUUUGGAAAGAGAGUUAACAGUACGUGAAAUUGUUGGAAGGGAAACGCUUGAAGUCAGACUUGCUUGCCGAGCAAUCGGUUUGCAGGCCAGCAUCAGUUUUCCGGGAUGGAUAAUGGUAGAGAGAAGGUAGCAGUUUCGGCUGUGUUAUAGCUCUCUGCUGGAUACAUCUUGGGGGACUGAGGAACGCAGUGUGCCUUUGGCGGGGGUUUCGACCUCUUCACACUUAGG
Molecule: ribosomal RNA, 1118 nt
Filed under: Rhodotorula mucilaginosa
Lineage: Eukaryota; Fungi; Basidiomycota; Microbotryomycetes; Sporidiobolales; Sporidiobolaceae
Description: eukaryotic LSU rRNA
Rfam family: Eukaryotic large subunit ribosomal RNA (bases 514-1118)
Source: RNAcentral